This 1054-nucleotide ribosomal RNA is filed under the name Klebsiella pneumoniae. RNAcentral's name for it is "bacterial SSU rRNA". It matches the Rfam family "Bacterial small subunit ribosomal RNA", at positions 56 to 1103 of the family's 1533-position model. Lineage: Bacteria; Pseudomonadati; Pseudomonadota; Gammaproteobacteria; Enterobacterales; Enterobacteriaceae. The record is from RNAcentral.
UGCAGUCGAGCGGUAGCACAGAGAGCUUGCUCUCGGGUGACGAGCGGCGGACGGGUGAGUAAUGUCUGGGAAACUGCCUGAUGGAGGGGGAUAACUACUGGAAACGGUAGCUAAUACCGCAUAAUGUCGCAAGACCAAAGUGGGGGACCUUCGGGCCUCAUGCCAUCAGAUGUGCCCAGAUGGGAUUAGCUAGUAGGUGGGGUAACGGCUCACCUAGGCGACGAUCCCUAGCUGGUCUGAGAGGAUGACCAGCCACACUGGAACUGAGACACGGUCCAGACUCCUACGGGAGGCAGCAGUGGGGAAUAUUGCACAAUGGGCGCAAGCCUGAUGCAGCCAUGCCGCGUGUGUGAAGAAGGCCUUCGGGUUGUAAAGCACUUUCAGCGGGGAGGAAGGCGUUAAGGUUAAUAACCUUGGCGAUUGACGUUACCCGCAGAAGAAGCACCGGCUAACUCCGUGCCAGCAGCCGCGGUAAUACGGAGGGUGCAAGCGUUAAUCGGAAUUACUGGGCGUAAAGCGCACGCAGGCGGUCUGUCAAGUCGGAUGUGAAAUCCCCGGGCUCAACCUGGGAACUGCAUUCGAAACUGGCAGGCUAGAGUCUUGUAGAGGGGGGUAGAAUUCCAGGUGUAGCGGUGAAAUGCGUAGAGAUCUGGAGGAAUACCGGUGGCGAAGGCGGCCCCCUGGACAAAGACUGACGCUCAGGUGCGAAAGCGUGGGGAGCAAACAGGAUUAGAUACCCUGGUAGUCCACGCCGUAAACGAUGUCGAUUUGGAGGUUGUGCCCUUGAGGCGUGGCUUCCGGAGCUAACGCGUUAAAUCGACCGCCUGGGGAGUACGGCCGCAAGGUUAAAACUCAAAUGAAUUGACGGGGGCCCGCACAAGCGGUGGAGCAUGUGGUUUAAUUCGAUGCAACGCGAAGAACCUUACCUGGUCUUGACUUCCACAGAACUUUCCAAAGAUGGAUUGGUGCCUUCGGGAACUGUGAAACAGGUGCUGCAUGGCUGUCGUCAGCUCGUGUUGUGAAAUGUUGGGUUAAUCCCGCAACGAGCGCACCC